This 490-nucleotide ribosomal RNA is filed under the name uncultured bacterium. Its description in RNAcentral is "partial 16S ribosomal RNA". It matches the Rfam family "Bacterial small subunit ribosomal RNA", at positions 29 to 507 of the family's 1533-position model. The record is from RNAcentral.
AGUGAACGCUGGCGGUAGGCCUAACACAUGCAAGUCGAACGGCAGCACAGGAGAGCUUGCUCUCUGGGUGGCGAGUGGCGGACGGGUGAGGAAUACAUCGGAAUCUGCCCAGUCGUGGGGGAUAACGUAGGGAAACUUACGCUAAUACCGCGUACGACCUUCGGGUGAAAGAGGGGGAUCGCAAGACCUCUCGCGAUUGGAUGAGCCGAUGUCGGAUUAGCUAGUUGGCGGGGUAAUGGCCCACCAAGGCGACGAUCCGUAGCUGGUCUGAGAGGAUGAUCAGCCACACUGGAACUGAGACACGGUCCAGACUCCUACGGGAGGCAGCAGUGGGGAAUAUUGGACAAUGGGCGCAAGCCUGAUCCAGCCAUACCGCGUGGGUGAAGAAGGCCUUCGGGUUGUAAAGCCCUUUUGUUGGGAAAGAAAUCUUUCAGGCUAAUACCCUGGGAGGAUGACGGUACCCAAAGAAUAAGCACCGGCUAACUUCGUG